Molecule: ribosomal RNA, 504 nt
Filed under: uncultured bacterium
Lineage: Bacteria
Description: partial 16S ribosomal RNA
Rfam family: Bacterial small subunit ribosomal RNA
Source: RNAcentral
GACGAACGCUGGCGGCGUGCUUAACACAUGCAAGUCGAACGGUGAAGCGCUUGCCUUUUUGGUGGGUGUGGAUGAGUGGCGAACGGGUGAGUAACACGUGAGUAACCUGCCCUCUUCUUCUGGAUAACCUCAUGAAAGUGGGGCUAAUACGGGGUAUUCCGGGUCUGUCGCAUGGCGGGUUUGGGAAAGAUUGCGCCUUUGGGUGUUUCCGGUGGGGGAUGGGCUCGCGGCCUAUCAGCUUGUUGGUGGGGUGAUGGCCUACCAAGGCGGUGACGGGUAGCCGGCCUGAGAGGGUGGACGGCCACACUGGGACUGAGACACGGCCCAGACUCCUGCGGGAGGCAGCAGUGGGGAAUAUUGCGCAAUGGGCGCAAGCCUGAUGCAGCGACGCCGCGUGAGGGAUGGAGGCCUUCGGGUUGUGAACCUCUUUCGCCAGUGAAGCAGGCCUGCUCCUGUGUGGGUGGGUUGACGGUAGCUGGAUAAGAAGCGCCGGCUAACUACGUG